RNAcentral lists this ribosomal RNA (376 nucleotides) under uncultured bacterium. Its description in RNAcentral is "bacterial SSU rRNA". It matches the Rfam family "Bacterial small subunit ribosomal RNA", at positions 523 to 898 of the family's 1533-position model. The record is from RNAcentral.
AUACGUAGGGGGCGAGCGUUACCCGGAAUCACUGGGCGUAAAGGGAGCGUAGGUGGCCUGACAUGUCAACUGUGAAAACCCGGAGCUCAACUCCGGACUUGCAGUUGAAACUGCCAGGCUUGAGGACGGUAGAGGAAGACGGAACUGCCAGUGUAGGGGUAAAAUCCUUAGAUAUUGGCAGGAACGCCGGUGACGAAGGUGGUUUUCUGGGCCGGUUCUGACACUGAUGCUCGAAAGCCAGGGGAGCGAACGGGAUUAGAUACCCCGGUAGUCCUGGCCCUAAACGAUGUUCACUAGGUGUGGGGAGCGGAAAGCUUUCCGUGCUAAAGCUAACGCGAUAAGUGAACCGCCUGGGGAAUACGCCCGCAAGGGUGAA